This 1466-nucleotide ribosomal RNA is filed under the name human metagenome. RNAcentral describes it as "bacterial LSU rRNA". It matches the Rfam family "Bacterial large subunit ribosomal RNA", at positions 1122 to 2569 of the family's 2925-position model. The record is from RNAcentral.
CCGAUCUAGUGCGUAAUAGCUCACUGGUCGAGAGACUCUGCGCCGAAAAUGUCCGGGGCUAAAGUGUAAAACCGAAGUCGUGUCAUAUGCAGCAAUGUAUAUGGGUAGGGGAGCGUUCUCAUCGGGCUGAAGCAGUACCGUAAGGAGUUGUGGACUGAUGAGAAGUGAGAAUGUCGGUAUGAGUAGCGAAAAGAAUGGUGAGAAUCCAUUCCACCGAAAGCCUAAGGGUUCCUGAGCAACGAUCGUCGUCUCAGGGUAAGUCGGGACCUAAGCCGAGGCGGAAAAGCGUAGGCGAUGGACAACAGGUUGAAAUUCCUGUACCGGUGUGAAUCGUUUGAUCGAUGGAGUGACACAGUAAGGUAGGUCAGCACGCGAUUGGAAGAGCGUGUUUAAGCAGGUAGGUUGAGCUAUAGGCAAAUCCGUAGCUCUAAAAGCUGAGAUGUGAUGACGAGUUACUAGCGAUAGUAACGAAGUGAUUGAUCCUACACUGUCGAGAAAAGCUUCUAGGUAGAGACACAUCGCCCGUACCAAAACCGACACAGGUAGGCGGGGAGAGAAUCCUAAGGUGCGCGGGAAAACCCUCGUUAAGGAACUCGGCAAAAUGCCUCCGUAACUUCGGGAAAAGGAGGACUCAUGUAGUGUGAAGAGCAGCAACGCUUGGAGCAUGAAUGAGUGGCACAAGAGAGGCGCAAGCGACUGUUUACCACAAACACAGGUGCCUGCUAAAGCGAAAGCUGAUGUAUAGGUGCUGACACCUGCCCGGUGCUGGAAGGUUAAGAGGAGGGGUUAGACUUCGGUCGAAGCUCUGAAUUGAAGCCCCAGUAAACGGCGGCCGUAACUAUAACGGUCCUAAGGUAGCGAAAUUCCUUGUCGGGUAAGUUCCGACCCGCACGAAAGGUGUAACGACUUGCGCACUGUCUCAACGAGGGACCCGGUGAAAUUGAAGUACCUGUGAAGAUGCAGGUUACCCGCGACUGGACAGAAAGACCCCAUGGAGCUUUACUGCAACCUAAGAUUGAACUUAGUUAAUGAAUGUACAGGAUAGGUGGGAGACGUAGAACCUAGGACGCCAGUUUUAGGGGAGUCACUGUUGGGAUACCACCCUUUCAUUAAUUGAUUUCUAACGGGCCGAGUAACGACCGGCCGGACAGUCUUAGGCGGGCAGUUUGACUGGGGCGGUCGCCUCCUAAAGAGUAACGGAGGCGCCCAAAGGUUCCCUCAGAGCGGACGGAAAUCGCUCGAAGAGUGUAAAGGCAGAAGGGAGCUUGACUGCGAGACGGACAGGUCGAGCAGGGACGAAAGUCGGGCUUAGUGAUCCGGUGGUGCCGAGUGGAAGGGCCAUCGCUCAACGGAUAAAAGCUACCCUGGGGAUAACAGGCUAAUCUCUCCCAAGAGUCCAUAUCGACGGGGAGGUUUGGCACCUCGAUGUCGGCUCAUCACAUCCUGGGGCUGAAGUAGGUCCCAAG